UACGGAGGGUGCAAGCGUUAUCCGGAUUCAUUGGGUUUAAAGGGUGCGCAGGCGGAAUGAUAAGUCAGUGGUGAAAUCCUACAGCUCAACUGUAGAACUGCCAUUGAUACUGUCGUUCUUGAGUACAGUUGAAGUGGGUGGAAUGUAUCAUGUAGCGGUGAAAUGCAUAGAUAUGAUACAGAACUCCGAUAGCGAAGGCAACUCACUAAACUGAAACUGACGCUCAUGCACGAAAGCGUGGGGAGCAAACAGGAUUAGAUACCCUGGUAGUCCACGCUGUAAACGAUGAUCACUCGUUGUUGGCGAUAUACUGUCAGCGACUGAACGAAAGCAAUAAGUGAUCCACCUGGGGAGUACGAUCGCAAGGUUG
RNAcentral lists this ribosomal RNA (370 nucleotides) under uncultured prokaryote. RNAcentral's name for it is "bacterial SSU rRNA". It matches the Rfam family "Bacterial small subunit ribosomal RNA", at positions 524 to 896 of the family's 1533-position model. The record is from RNAcentral.